Molecule: ribosomal RNA, 435 nt
Filed under: uncultured soil bacterium
Lineage: Bacteria
Description: bacterial SSU rRNA
Rfam family: Bacterial small subunit ribosomal RNA
Source: RNAcentral
AGAUUGAACGCUGGCGGCAUGCCUUACACAUGCAAGCCGAACGGCAGCACGGGAGCAAUCCUGGUGGCGAGUGGCGAACGGGUGAGUAAUACAUCGGAACGUGCCCAAUCGUGGGGGAUAACGCAGCGAAAGCUGUGCUAAUACCGCAUAAGAUCUACGGAUGAAAGCAGGGGAUCGCAAGACCUUGCGCGAAUGGAGCGGCCGAUGGCAGAUUAGGUAGUUGGUGAGGUAAAGGCUCACCAAGCCUUCGAUCUGUAGCUGGUCUGAGAGGACGACCAGCCACACUGGGACUGAGACACGGCCCAGACUCCUACGGGAGCAGCAGGUGGGGAAUUUUGGACAAGUGGGACGAAAGCCGUAGACUCCACGCCAGUCGCCGCGUGCAGGAUGGAAGGCCGUUACGGGUUGUAAACUUGUCUUUUAGGUAACGGAACG